UCUCGAGAGUUGCGCGCUCCUCGUGACGCCAUCAGGACGCGCGAGGCUCCGGGUUCGGGGGGAGGAUUAGAGUCCAAGCUAGAGUCCUGUCUCCGCAUGCCGGCUUCAAGCGUUGGGACCUGCAAGUCCCAGUUGGCCCCUCUGAGAGAGAGGCGAGCUGAUCUUCCAGACAGUACUUACCUCUAGCAGAUAAAUUUACCAGGCUGCUCAACUGGUUUAACCAGCAGGGCGUGCAACUACGCUUCCCAGCAUGCAUCCCGAGCGAGGCGGCCCAAACAAUGGGAGAAGAGGGGUAGAGGCGGAGGGAAGGGGAAGAGCGGGGUGCCGCCGGGCGGAGGCCGCUCUCACGGUGAGGUAGCCUCUCGCGGACCUCACCGUCAGAGCCCUGUACGAGAAAGGAGCCCCAGUUUCAUGGAACCGAAAUUGCAGAUCCUCGUCCAUCGCUAAUCAAACUUUUAGAAAGUGUUAAAGGUUGUUGUGAACCUUGUGUUUUAGCUGAGAGUAACUGGGUUCCAUCAGAGCCGUGUAAGUGUUCUGAAAAAGAGUCUAAAGAAAGCCGGCCGGUGGUGGCGCACACCUUGAAUCCCAGCAGUCUGGUGAGUUCGAGGCCAGGCUGGUCUGCAUAAUGAGUUCAGGAUGGCCGGGGGAAAAAACCCUGUCUCGAAGAACAAACAACAACGAAAACCAACCCAACAAAAUCUGAGUCUAAGGGCCCUGUUCACUGGUGACUUACUAUUGAUGACACUGAAGCAAGAAAAACUGAUCCUUCCCUUGAGUGCACUUCAGAAAAAAUUACUCACAAGAUACCAAACAAGUAACCCAGAAGAGCCGCUGCCGAAC
Molecule: long non-coding RNA, 840 nt
Organism: Mesocricetus auratus (golden hamster)
Lineage: Eukaryota; Metazoa; Chordata; Mammalia; Rodentia; Cricetidae
Exons: 3
Source: RefSeq, a predicted model, not a curated record